GCCUGCGUUGUCUAAUGGCUAUGACGUCAGACUUCUACUUUCGCGGUGAGUAUCUGGAGGUUGCGGGUUCGAGUCCCGCCGUGGGUU
Molecule: transfer RNA, 87 nt
Filed under: Marasmius sp. AFHP31
Lineage: Eukaryota; Fungi; Basidiomycota; Agaricomycetes; Agaricales; Marasmiaceae
Description: tRNA-Arg
Rfam family: tRNA
About the family: Transfer RNA (tRNA) molecules are approximately 80 nucleotides in length. Their secondary structure includes four short double-helical elements and three loops (D, anti-codon, and T loops).
Source: RNAcentral